This 1177-nucleotide long non-coding RNA is filed under the name Lepisosteus oculatus (spotted gar). Its description in RNAcentral is "lncRNA (ENSLOCG00000021163.1)". The record is from RNAcentral. Lineage: Eukaryota; Metazoa; Chordata; Actinopteri; Semionotiformes; Lepisosteidae.
UGUAGCAUAAAUUGCUCUCAUGUUUAUUUAGAAUAGUGCAGGUGACAGCACAUUUUGUGCCUAUUUUCUGCUGUAAACAUUUUAAAACACUGUGAUUUCUCUUUGAGAUAAAACUAGUGUCCUGCCUAAAUCACUAUAAAUAUAAGUAGAUUUUUGUCUCAGAAUUCAGUCAUACGUUAAAUAAAGAGGACAACUGUCGUAAUGCUUUUCAUUUUCUUUGUGUCCACUUAUGUGAUUAUGUGUGGGAGGGGGAGGUAUUUUGAGAUUUUAUAAAUGGACAUCUUGUAUAUUAAGUGAACUUUUUUAAGGUUUCAGUUACUGUGUGGGGCAACAACAACAACCAUUGACUCGAUUCCUUCCAAGAGAGAGACACAAUCGGGACGUUAAGCUGUGAUUAAAGUAUUCGUUCUUUUGAAGAUCUGAAGAUGAAGUCAGUGAUUCUGCUACUUUGCUUUGUGAGUGUAGCUUUGGCUAUGAAGGCAUUUCACUAUCCCUACAAAAGACAAAUUUCAUCAGGUUGCAUCGAUGAACGUGGGAUGUAUUACAGGACUCACAAGUUACAAAAUGGAUACUAUGUUUUCAAGUAUUUCCACGUCUACCCCCCAGGACAUCCGCGAUAUGGGCGCCGUUACAUGGGUGAUGAAGACCAGCGAGAGCCCGAAAGUGAAGAGGAUGGGAAUUCUAACGGGGAUGCUGACAUCGCUGAGAAGGCUGAAGUGGGUCAAGGCGGCAAGCAGCCAAAUGAGGUUCUGAGCGAUGCCAAAAACUAAAAACAAAAGGGCAAAAAUGAUCAAAGCUUCCUUUCAAUAGACGCUAAAGCUGCGGCAUUGCGAUAGUGCAUGACGAUUAAAGUGAUAGAUUAAAAAAAAAACUAAACAAUCAAAACCUUCCAGGUAACAAUUGCCUAGCAGCUACUUUCUGUAAGUUAUGGACUGAUGAGGAAAAUACGUAAGGUUUUCUUUUUCUUGUUUAACUGUAAAAAAGAAAAAAUAAAGUGUAAAGUGAGAUGUGAACAUUAGACUCAUGUUCUGUUUGGACAAGUUGAAAACUUCAGGUGGAAAAUAAUACAUCCUCUUGUUACGGCGUCAAUUGAUUCAGUGUAAAAUGGGACUUCCAUUUAUGCGACCUUUGCAGAAUGUUCAAAAAAAAUAAAACAUUCCUUCUUAUUCAACAAAGA